Molecule: long non-coding RNA, 1349 nt
Organism: Cyprinus carpio carpio
Lineage: Eukaryota; Metazoa; Chordata; Actinopteri; Cypriniformes; Cyprinidae
Source: Ensembl
ACGAUGAGAGUGACUGAGUUGUGUGCUUUUAUGUGGAGGUGAGCUGAUGGGUUGAUGGUGAAUAGGUGCUGGUGAUUAGAUGAUUGGAUGGUGAACAGGUGCUGGAGAUAAAUGCAUGAGUGAGGGAGUGUGCAGAGGGUGAUGAGCCUGACCGACUUGUGACACCCAUAGUGUGGCGUGUAUUUCAUAUGCCCGAUACUAUGUAUCUUCCUGAAGUCAGCGCAAACUUCAAUCCAUGUAUUCCACCGAUAUACUAGCGGAUUAUACAAUGCAAGGUUAUGUCAGAAAGAGUGACUGGAGGGAUAAAGAGCCAAAGCUCUGCUCACAGAGAGAAAACCAGCUAAAACUCUGGCCAUUGUCAUUGGUGUUUAUUUGUUAUGCUGGCUGCCUUUUUUUACUGUGUCUGUUCUAGACACUUUUUUUCAAUUUUUGGACCCCAGCUGUUGUUUGUAAUGCUUUGUUCUGGUUUGCAUAUUUCAACUCGACUUGUAACCCCUUGAUUUAUGGAUUUUUCUACACUUGUUUUCAGAAGGCCUUUAAGAUUCUCAUAUCCACUUAUAUCUGUGCCUUAAAGCAUUCUAAAACAUUAAUAUCUGAAUGAAUACUGCUAUCACACUUAUUUCAGGCAUCACAAUAAAUAUUUAUUUUUAUGUAAUUCUUUUUGUUCCAUAUAUGCUGAACCCAUUUUGCAAAUGUGUUUUACUGGAAGCUGUCCUACUAUUUUUAGUAAUCUAAUUAAAAAGAGGGGCACGCAUGCAGGGUUUGCACUAUAUUCAAAAUUUAUUUCAGCUAUUAUUAAACAAACUAAAUAGCCUGCAUUUCUGUGAAAUUAACAUUAUAAAUCGCUUUUAAUACUCAAACUCUUUUGAUCACAUUUCACAUUAAAAUAGUCUCCCUUUAGAAAAGCAGUCAUAUUUUAGGAGUUUGUUUGGUUUAAAUUUACUGAUUACGAUCCAGAUGAUUAAGGGAAGUAUCCUCAACUGAACCAACCUGGUCACACUUACAUCUAAUGUUUAAAAACUGAAAAAAGACAUGUGACAGAAAACCAGUUAUAAUUUGAAAGUUAAAAUGUUAAGAAAGACAUAAAAUGUCUAUAACCUACCUGUUGAGUGUGUGUUGACGGUCUUUGCAGUUGGAUGGUUUGGAGUUCCAAAAGCUUGAUUAUGAAGUGGCUCGUUUUGUAACUAUGUUGCAUUAUCUUUAUGUAUUUUAUGAUUCUAUUGUCAUUUAAGAGAAAAUGGCUAGAUGAACAUAGUAAAUAUUGCAUGAUAAGUAAUGGUUAAAUGAUUGUAGAAGUGAUUUUCAUUUAUCUUGUUUAGGGUUAAAUGAGUUUAAGCCCCCUCCCCCCC